This 26-nucleotide non-coding RNA is filed under the name Drosophila melanogaster (fruit fly). Lineage: Eukaryota; Metazoa; Arthropoda; Insecta; Diptera; Drosophilidae. RNAcentral also lists the same sequence under 8 other names. The record is from RNAcentral.
CCUGGUGGUCUAGUGGUUAGGAUUCG